UGCAUGGUUGUCGUCAGCUCGUGCCGUGAGGUGUCGGGUUAAGGUCCCAUAACGAGCGCAACCCCUACCUUAGUUGCCAUCAGGUUAAGCUGGGGACGUCUAAAGGAACUGCCUACGCAAGUAGUGAGGAAGGCGGGGAGUGACGUCAAAUCAGCACGGCCCUUACGUCCAGGGCUACACACGUGCUACAAUGGCCGAUACAGAGGGCAGCUACCUGGUGACAGGAUGCAAAUCUCCAAAGUCGGUCUCAGUUCGGAUCGGAGUCUGCAACCCGACUCCGUGAAGUUGGAUUCGCUAGUAAUCGCGCAUCAGCCAUGGCGCGGUGAAUACGUUCCCGGGCCUU
RNAcentral lists this ribosomal RNA (343 nucleotides) under uncultured Sphingobacteriales bacterium. Its description in RNAcentral is "bacterial SSU rRNA". It matches the Rfam family "Bacterial small subunit ribosomal RNA", at positions 1042 to 1382 of the family's 1533-position model. The record is from RNAcentral. Lineage: Bacteria; Pseudomonadati; Bacteroidota; Sphingobacteriia; Sphingobacteriales.